UCAAAAUUCUAAGUGCUCACCUCUCUACUAGUAAGUUAACUUUGUUAAAAAGGUUCAAAAGGAAUAGUGUUUAUGUUCAGUGGCAUGUAGAAAGGAAAAAGA
Perognathus longimembris pacificus (Pacific pocket mouse) is the source of this 102-nucleotide long non-coding RNA. RefSeq lists it as uncharacterized. The record is from RefSeq and is a predicted model, not a curated record. Lineage: Eukaryota; Metazoa; Chordata; Mammalia; Rodentia; Heteromyidae. The transcript is spliced from 3 exons.